This 465-nucleotide ribosomal RNA is filed under the name Vreelandella stevensii. RNAcentral's name for it is "partial 16S ribosomal RNA". It matches the Rfam family "Bacterial small subunit ribosomal RNA", at positions 338 to 795 of the family's 1533-position model. The record is from RNAcentral. Lineage: Bacteria; Pseudomonadati; Pseudomonadota; Gammaproteobacteria; Oceanospirillales; Halomonadaceae.
CCUACGGGAGGCAGCAGUGGGGAAUAUUGGACAAUGGGGGGAACCCUGAUCCAGCCAUGCCGCGUGUGUGAAGAAGGCCCUCGGGUUGUAAAGCACUUUCAGUGAGGAAGAACGCCUGGUGGUUAAUACCCAUCAGGAAAGACAUCACUCACAGAAGAAGCACCGGCUAACUCCGUGCCAGCAGCCGCGGUAAUACGGAGGGUGCGAGCGUUAAUCGGAAUUACUGGGCGUAAAGCGCGCGUAGGUGGCUUGAUAAGCCGGUUGUGAAAGCCCCGGGCUCAACCUGGGAACGGCAUCCGGAACUGUCAAGCUAGAGUGCAGGAGAGGAAGGUAGAGUUCCCGGUGUAGCGGUGAAAUGCGUAGAGAUCGGGAGGAAUACCAGUGGCGAAGGCGGCCUUCUGGACUGACACUGACACUGAGGUGCGAAAGCGUGGGUAGCAAACAGGAUUAGAUACCCUGGUAGUC